GCCAUCUACAAAGAAUUGGAUGGUAAAAUUACACCUCAGGGCGUAUAAACCGAAAAAGAAAAGAUAAAUAUACAAAACUAGGAAUUCCAGAUUUCAUCCACUCACUCUAUUCCCAUUUCAAUUUCCUUACUACAAAGCUUUUAUUUCUUUGCUUUUUUUCUUAUUUUUUUGUUCCUAUUCCACAGUUAUUUCUAAUAUCGUUGUAAGUCUGGGUGUUUUGUAUCUUCUGAGAAGUAAAGAUGAACAUACAACACUUACAGAUGA
This 264-nucleotide unclassified non-coding RNA is filed under the name Hevea brasiliensis (rubber tree). Lineage: Eukaryota; Viridiplantae; Streptophyta; Magnoliopsida; Malpighiales; Euphorbiaceae. The record is from RNAcentral.